RNAcentral lists this ribosomal RNA (253 nucleotides) under uncultured bacterium. RNAcentral's name for it is "partial 16S ribosomal RNA". It matches the Rfam family "Bacterial small subunit ribosomal RNA", at positions 524 to 776 of the family's 1533-position model. The record is from RNAcentral.
CACGUAGGGCGCAAGCGUUGUCCGGAAUUACUGGGCGUAAAGAGCUCGUAGGUGGUUUGUCGCGUUGUUCGUGAAAACUCACAGCUCAACUGUGGGCGUGCGGGCGAUACGGGCAGACUAGAGUACUGCAGGGGAGACUGGAAUUCCUGGUGUAGCGGUGGAAUGCGCAGAUAUCAGGAGGAACACCGGUGGCGAAGGCGGGUCUCUGGGCAGUAACUGACGCUGAGGAGCGAAAGCGUGGGGAGCGAACAGG